RNAcentral lists this ribosomal RNA (265 nucleotides) under uncultured bacterium. RNAcentral describes it as "partial 16S ribosomal RNA". It matches the Rfam family "Bacterial small subunit ribosomal RNA", at positions 27 to 292 of the family's 1533-position model. The record is from RNAcentral.
GAUUGAACGCUGGCGGCGUGCUUAACACAUGCAAGUCGUGCGGUAACAGGCGUAGCAAUACGUGCUGACGAGCGGCGAACGGGUGCGUAAUACAUGGGAAUCUGCCUUUUAGUGGGGAAUAACCCGGCGAAAGCCGGGCUAAUGCCGCAUAAGAUCUUCGGAUGAAAGCGGGGGAUCGUAAGACCUCGCGCUGAUAGAUGAGCCCAUGCCGGAUUAGCUAGUUGGUGAGGUAACGGCUCACCAAGGCGACGAUCCGUAGCUGGUC